This 465-nucleotide ribosomal RNA is filed under the name Vreelandella stevensii. Its description in RNAcentral is "partial 16S ribosomal RNA". It matches the Rfam family "Bacterial small subunit ribosomal RNA", at positions 338 to 795 of the family's 1533-position model. Lineage: Bacteria; Pseudomonadati; Pseudomonadota; Gammaproteobacteria; Oceanospirillales; Halomonadaceae. The record is from RNAcentral.
CCUACGGGGGGCAGCAGUGGGGAAUAUUGGACAAUGGGGGCAACCCUGAUCCAGCCAUGCCGCGUGUGUGAAGAAGGCCCUCGGGUUGUAAAGCACUUUCAGUGAGGAAGAACGCCUGGUGGUUAAUACCCAUCAGGAAAGACAUCACUCACAGAAGAAGCACCGGCUAACUCCGUGCCAGCAGCCGCGGUAAUACGGAGGGUGCGAGCGUUAAUCGGAAUUACUGGGCGUAAAGCGCGCGUAGGUGGCUUGAUAAGCCGGUUGUGAAAGCCCCGGGCUCAACCUGGGAACGGCAUCCGGAACUGUCAAGCUAGAGUGCAGGAGAGGAAGGUUGAAUUCCCGGUGUAGCGGUGAAAUGCGUAGAGAUCGGGAGGAAUACCAGUGGCGAAGGCGGCCUUCUGGACUGACACUGACACUGAGGUGCGAAAGCGUGGGUAGCAAACAGGAUUAGAUACCCUUGUAGUC